This 331-nucleotide ribosomal RNA is filed under the name uncultured eukaryote. RNAcentral's name for it is "partial 18S ribosomal RNA". It matches the Rfam family "Eukaryotic small subunit ribosomal RNA", at positions 1470 to 1796 of the family's 1831-position model. The record is from RNAcentral.
CCCUUAGAUGUUCUGGGCCGCACGCGCGCUACACUGUUCGACGCAGCGAGUCUUAACCUUGACCGAAAGGUUUGGGUAAUCUUCAGCAAAGUCGAACGUGAUGGGGAUCGAUAAUUGCAAUUAUUGAUCGUGAACGAGGAAUUCCUAGUAAGUGCAAGUCAUCAGCUUGCGCUGAUUACGUCCCUGCCCUUUGUACACACCGCCCGUCGCUACUACCGAUUGAAUGGUUUAGUGAGAUCUCUGGAUUGACGCUGGCUAGGGGGCGACCCUUGGCCAGACUGUUGAGAAACUGCUCAAACUUGAUCAUUUAGAGGAAGUAAAAGUCGUAACA